Molecule: long non-coding RNA, 3663 nt
Organism: Marmota monax (woodchuck)
Lineage: Eukaryota; Metazoa; Chordata; Mammalia; Rodentia; Sciuridae
Exons: 3
Source: RefSeq, a predicted model, not a curated record
GGCACUGCUGUGGGGAGCUACCAUCCGCACCCCAGCACAACAAGCACUCCCGCCCUUGUUUUCAGAAUCAGCCUCAACCGGCUGACUGGAUUCCGGAGGCAGGGCCCCUGCUUGCCCCCCUCGCUGGUCCCAGGAGAAAGAUUUGGAGACACAAAGACAGGGAGACUCGCAGGGAAGGUGGACCUCUGGAAAAGUUGCAGAGACUGAGGGGCUGCAGCCACGAGCCAAGAGACACCGAGGACUGCUGGCAGCCACCAGGAGCUAGGCCUGAGGGGCAGGACAGUGUCUCCUUCAGUGCCUGAAGGAAACCCACCAAUUGUGCCACACCUUGAUCUCCGACUUCUGGCCUCCUUAUCUGUGAGAGCCCACAUUUCUGUUGUGUUUAUGCCAUGGGAUUUUUUGAGCAGACGACUCCCUCGAAAUCUACUCCUAAAGCUGUGUUGUCAUGUUUCUGUGCAGCAAAGAUAAGUAUGAAGGAUGCUACAGCUUUCAUUAUAUUAGUUAAAAAUAGGAAGAUCCCAAGUGUCCAUCGAUGGCAGAAUAGAUACAUAAAUGCAGGUCCAUCCACUCAAGGGAAUGCUGCUCAGCAGCGGAAGAGGAGGGAAGGUGACGUGAGCAACACGGAUGAGCUCAGGGACACGUUGAGCAGCAUGAGGCAGGCACAAAAGGGCACAUACCCACGACCCACUUAGAAUAGAAUAGGUCACACAGAACUACGGGGGUAAAAGGAAUCCCAGUGGUCCCCUGGCCUGGGGGAUGGAAUUGACUGAGGGGCUCAGGAAGCCUCUGAGAGCGCUGGAGGAAUUCCAUGUUGGAUUUUGGUACAUAGAUGGAUACAUCAUAAAAAUCCACUCCGCUGCACCCUUAAGAUUUGCUCAACUUGAUGGAGAAAUCUGAUACCUCCGUAAGAGGUAAAAAUGAAAACCUGGGGAAGUCAAGAACUAAAAACCACUGGGUAGUGUUUUCUGGGGGCAUUUGCAACUUCAGUCUGACUCCCUAGAUCAGGGAGAGGCUCAGUCCCUGGGGCCAUACUUGUGGCACCGUUCAGUGGAUGGGAGGAAACGCCACUCUUCAGCAGAGACUGGGCUGGACACACAUGUGCACACACACCUCCUGCACCACAGCGUGCAGGCUUCAGUGGGUAUGUCCCUCAGGCCUGAGGCUGCUGAAUUCCCUCAGGCCAACAGACAGGAGUUGCAAGGUGGCAGGUAUCUGCCACACGGACUUUUUUUGGUACCAGGGAUUGAACCCAGGGGCUCUUAACCACUGAGCCACAUUUCCACCCCCGCUUUAAAUAUUUUAAAGACAGGGUCUCCUGAGUUGCUUAGGGCCUCACCAAUUUGCUGAGGCUGGUUUUGAACUUGGGAUCCUCCUGCCUCAGUCUCCUGAGCUGCUGGGAUUACAGGCAUGUGCCACUGCCCCUGGCUUGGUGACAGCGACAUUGCUUUUCCCACUCUCUCCAUAUCCCUGGAGUGAACUGCCUGACGUGGGUGUUAUAGGGCCUGUCAUGUCCCCAUUUUGCACUGGUGUCCCCAGGCCUGGGCCUGUCCUAUAGCUGACUUUCCUUUGUUGACUGUUGAAGUCCAGGAUGGGGCUGCCAGAGAGAUUAGGGAUUCAGCAGCCUGACCCUCUGGGGGCCGCUCUUUGGGGUGGGAAUAGGACACAAGCAGGACCCAGCUGCAACCCGCUUCCUCACUUAACCACCAAAUGCAGUGGUUUCUUUCUGAAAACAAAAACAAAAGCCCAGCUGAAAAAGAACAGUGACCUCCUACUCAGUUUUUCCGGUCCGACAGGCGUGCACCAAGCACUUUGAGGUCGGUGGCCUGUUACCAUUUCACAGACAGGAAAACGGAGGAUUCGAGGAACUGAGUAAAACCUCAGGGUCACACAGGAAAUUCAACAGGGGGUGAGUGCACGCUGGCUCCAUCAGACUGGGGCUCUCUGGGAGCAUGGCUGUCUCCCCCUGGGGUGUGGAGGAAUUUCUCUAUAGGAGAGGAUUAGAGGAGGAGCUGACCUUGAAUGUGUCCUUCAUAGCGAUCUCACUGAUCUCCUGCAGAGGCCAGGAGGGGGCUGCUGGCCCUGGCUGCCCCUGCUCCUUAUUACCUUAAAGUUAACCCUAAGCUGAGCCCAGGGCUCACCUCAUAGGUAGGUGAGCCACAGUUAGGGACCAUGGUUCUGGGGACAGGGAGGGUGGAGGGAAGGGUAUGAACCAAAGAAGCCAUCCCUUUGGUGACUCUGCUGGAAUCAGUGGGGGAGACUCUUGCUCGGGGUCACCCAGCUGAGCCACGCCAUAGCCACACUGAGCACAAGUGGUCUGGACCCUGCCCCUUCCCAGGAGGAUAGUCUGAGUGAAAGGCACCAUUUGAGGACAUAUGGAAGGGACAGAGUGCAGGGUGGCCCCAGCAAAGCUCGGGACCAGGUGCUUCUUUCUCUGCCCACGCCUUACCAGCAGGAGCUGGGUCAUAUGAUGGGGGUGAGGUGGCAGGUGUAAUGGGAGAUGACAGCCUCCAGGCCAGCCCCUCCACCAUAUUAAGUCUGUGUCCCUAGCUUCACUUCCCCCACCCUCAGGACAGGGAUCCUGCACUGCAGGCCAAGGAGUCAUCCCUGCCGCCCAACCCCACUGUCCUGGGAAAGGGGCAGGGGCCUAAUGAGGUCAGGGCUAGCGGGUGCGGGAACUGAGGAAGUGCAUUUAGUCUUGGGGUGCUAAUGAGCUGCAGAGGAGGUGCUGGGAGGGCUUUAGCACCCUCACACUCUGCCGUCCCCUCCAGCCUCCCACGCACCACCUAGGGCCUCAUAAGGGCACAUGGAGAGUGUGCUCACUGGCAGCUGAGACUCGGGUCUAACUCCCAGCAAAACUUGCACCAGACAGCCCCCGGGGUCCUUGGGAAUCCAACUUCAUCCUUAUAACCUCUCAGGAGCUCACAUCUGCACACCCAGCAGUGAGUGCUGGCAUCCAUGUGGCUUGCACCCCAGUGCCCCCACAGGCACCCACCCACCUGCUUGCCAUGUCCCCUAAAGCGAUGAUUGAAGCAGAGGAGCCCUGGAUGCAGAGUGCAUUCUGGGAGUCCAGGGCCUUUGCACCCCCUACCUAGAUCUAAAGGCACAUUCCCUGGGAUCCCUGCUGGUGGGACUCACCACUCCUGGGGGGCAGGAGCCCCCGGAAGCCCUGCCUCUCCCCCGGGGUGAGGGCGGGGCUGGCCCAGGGUUUAUUAAUAAACUCGCUCCUGACUGGAAAGGCCUCUGCAGAAGCCUCCACCUCAAGCCAAUCAGAGCAGAACUUUCCAGGAAUGUCCCCCCCAAGCAAGCCUGCCUCUGACUCCAGGAUUAUUUCCCACCCCUGACUUCAUCCCCUUGGUGUGUGUGGCUCCUGCCAGGCUCCACUGGCUCUGCGGGCAGGCCUGCUGUCACCUGGCAGCUGACAUCUACCUUGGCCACCGCCCAGAGAAGGUCAUGCCGCACAUGGGUGGUAGGGCCAGGAUUAGAUUUGCUUCCCUGUCAUCCAGGCCUGCUCCUCCCCGCCACGCACACAGAGGCCACUGUGGGGACAGACGAUGCCCUGGACCUCACCCCCACUGGGAGGAAGCUGAGAACCCUGGCCCUGAAGGCAGAGCGCCUGGCUCACUCAGCUUUCUGCUGCUUCCUUGUGACCUUGUGACCUCAAAC